ACACGGACAUGAACCGGUUCGUGUGUGGAACACAGACAAAAGGGCCUCAUUUCUUUGAUUUUGUUUAGCUUGGAGAGCUCCUUCCACCGAACCCUACCCUUCCUCCAUCGGCGGCAACAGAGUUCCGACAGUUGAUCGACGGCAACAAUGAGACCUCCGGUGGCGAUGUGUUUUUCUCUCUUCUUCUUCUCCUCUUUUCAUCGUCUUCUCCGAUGGUAGGUCCGAUGGAAAUCUCAAUUUGGAAAUUAAGGUUUUGCUGUUGAGAUAAACCUACAAAACAUUUGGAUGGAUGGAUGCAACCAAUCAUUUUGAAAAAUUCAACAAAUUCAAAAUGAUUUGUUGAAUCAUUUUGAAUCAAAAUGAUGAAUAAGAAGAGGAGAAGAAGAAUGAUUGUCAGCCCCACCACUGGAGUUACUUGUCGAAGAAGAAGAAUGGAGAGUAGAAGAAGAGAAGAGGAGAAGAAGAAUAUGCCGUCGCCGGAGGUCUUUUUGUCACCGUCGAUGAACUGCCGGAGCUCUAUUGCCGCUGAUGGAGAAAGGAUUUGGUGCAUGAGUAGGGUUUGGUGGAAGGAGCUCUCAGGGAAACAGAAUCGAAGAAAUGAAGCCCUUUUGUCCCAGACCGGUUCAUAUCCACAUGAACCAUCCGAUUGUGUCAACGGACCACGUCAAUGCUCAAGCGGACGUUAAUAUUGAUCUGAUCGACGUGUCACUCUACAUUGGGUUCACGCGUCCAAUGCAUCCACGGGUGCACAGAACGCGGACUCUUGGAUUAUCCGGGUUGGGACCACUUGUUCCAUACCGAGGCCGGAUAAAGCUUGGAACAAAUAUAAAUUUUAGUCGUAAAUUCAACCCUUUGUCACUUCCAAAAAAGCAAUCUAAGUUAGAUCUCAACUAUGAUAUAUUAAAUUUCCUAAUUAGUUUUGAGCAAGCAGCCAAUUGAUGACCUCGCCAAAAGAAUUAGGAAAUUUUCUGAAAAUUAAUGUUGAGCCCUACAUGUCGCCAUUUUUUUAUUAUUUUUUUUUAAAGUUCACCAACCUCCAUUGUUUCUAAAAAGGGUUUAAUUAAAAAACCCACUGCCAAU
Molecule: non-coding RNA, 1080 nt
Organism: Nelumbo nucifera (sacred lotus)
Lineage: Eukaryota; Viridiplantae; Streptophyta; Magnoliopsida; Proteales; Nelumbonaceae
Source: RefSeq, a predicted model, not a curated record